This 407-nucleotide ribosomal RNA is filed under the name uncultured bacterium. RNAcentral describes it as "partial 16S ribosomal RNA". It matches the Rfam family "Bacterial small subunit ribosomal RNA", at positions 28 to 526 of the family's 1533-position model. The record is from RNAcentral.
GACGAACGCUGGCGGCAGGCCUAACACAUGCAAGUCGAGCGGAGCGGCGGACGGGUGGGUAAUGCCUAGGAAUCUGCCUGGUAGUGGGGGAUAACGUCCGGCAACGGGCGCUAAUACCGCAUACUAUCAGAUGAGCCUAGGGGGGAGUAGCUAGCUGGUGGGGGAAAGGCCUACCAAGGCGACGAUCCGUAACUGGUCUGAGAGGAUGAUCAGUCACACUGGAACUGAGACACGGUCCAGACUCCUACGGGAGGCAGCAGUGGGGAAUAUUGGACAAUGGGCGAAAGCCUGAUGCAGCCAUGCCGCGUGUGUGAAGAAGGUCUUCGGAUUGUAAAGCACUUUAAGUUGGGAGGCGUUACCAACAGAAGAAGCACCGGCUAACUUCGUGCCAGCAGCCGCGGUAAUUC